UUUCACUGCAACCGCAGCCCAGCCUUAUUCCUCAAACUUGACAUUGCCGGCGCUUUUGACUCGGUUUCGUGGAGUUAUCUGCUGGAUCUUCUCCAACACCUCGGUUUUGGUCACCGUUGGAGAGACAUGGUUUCACUUUUAUGGAGUUCAGCAUCUUCCAAAAUUCUUGUUAAUGGUCAGCUUGGGGACAGAUUCAUCCACCGCCAGGGCCUUCGCCAGGGCAACCCUUUAUCACCUAUGCUCUUCACUAUAGCAAUAGCCCCGCUGCAUUGGAUCUUCCAAAAAGCUGCCGAGUUGGGUCUGCUUACCCCGCUUGAUCUGCCUCCCUCCAAACUUCGUGUCAGCCUGUAUGCCGAUGAUGCUGCCCUUUUCAUUCACCCUUCACCUCUAGAUGUCCUGUUGGUCCAAUUGAUCCUCACUUGCUUCGGCAAAGCCUCGGGUCUGCAUGCUAACACCAACAAGUGCGCGUUCUACCCUAUCCGCUGUGAGCACCUUCAUGUUCCUACACUGCUGCAAUCCUUCCUAGUACCUAUCAAGUCCUUUCCUUGUGUCUACUUGGGUCUGCCGCUCCAUUACCGUGCUAUUUCCAAAGCUGACCUUCAACCACUCCUUGACAAAAUAGCCGCUAAGCUUCAGAGAUGGAGAGGCAAACUCUUAUCGUAUGCUGCUCGGCUCACUCUCAUUAAUUUGGUCCUUUCAGCCAUUCCCAUAUAUCUUCUCUCCAUCUUUAAAGUUGGACGAUGGGCCAUUAAGCAGAUCGAUAAGAUGAGAAGGAACUUUCUUUGGAAAGUUGACCCUGAUGCCAGCCGUGCCACCUGCCUAGUCAGUUGGAGGAAAGUUUGUCGCCCCAAACUUUUGGGGGGGCUGGGCAUCAUUGACUUGCACUCUUUCGGUCGGGCUCUGCGACUGUGA
This 912-nucleotide ribosomal RNA is filed under the name Triticum aestivum (bread wheat). RNAcentral's name for it is "partial small subunit ribosomal RNA". The record is from RNAcentral. Lineage: Eukaryota; Viridiplantae; Streptophyta; Magnoliopsida; Poales; Poaceae.